RNAcentral lists this ribosomal RNA (255 nucleotides) under uncultured bacterium. RNAcentral's name for it is "partial 16S ribosomal RNA". It matches the Rfam family "Bacterial small subunit ribosomal RNA", at positions 524 to 777 of the family's 1533-position model. The record is from RNAcentral.
UACGAAGGGGGGCUAGCGUUGCUCGGAAUUACUGGGCGUAAAGCGCACGUAGGCGGCUCUUUAAGUCGGAGGUGAAAUCCUGGAGCUCAACUCCAGAACUGCCUUCGAUACUGAAGAGCUCGAGUCCGGGAGAGGUGAGUGGAACUGCGAGUGUAGAGGUGAAAUUCGUAGAUAUUCGCAAGAACACCAGUGGCGAAGGCGGCUCACUGGCCCGGUACUGACGCUGAGGUGCGAAAGCGUGGGGAGCAAACAGGG